GAGAUCUGCCUUCCUCUUUUGCUUUCUGUUUUCUUUCAUUCAUUCACUCAUUUAUUCAUUCGUCAGAUUGCCACUCAGUGCCUUGUUAAUCCGUGUUAGGCAUCAUAAUAGGCACUGGGGAUAAAAUGUUUUAAAAGUUAAGGUCCAUGCUAUUCAGAAGCUCACAAGCCAGCGAAGGUGGCAGAAAAGUAGAGAGACAAGUGAGAUCCAGCGUGCCUGGCUUGUGGGAUCAUAGUUGCCUGACUGGGGAUCAAACCCAUGGUCCCUGCAGUGGAAGCCCAGAACCCUAACCAUUGGACCACCAGUGUCGAAUUUUGGGAAGCAGCUGCACAGUUAGGACUCUACUGAGCAGCCCCUCUUGCUGUCAGGGUGGGACCAUAUGACUAGUUCUUAUCAAAAAACUGAAACCAAAAAUGACGUGGAUACUCCGAGCCAAGGGUCUGUUCCUGAGGUAUAAUGAAGAAAACACGUCAGAAGGAAGAGUACAAAGGAAUGAACCACUACCUUUUACAGAAGCACACUUUCUGCCCUUGAAUUACAGGUCUCUUCUCCAGGCCUCCCCUGGCCUCGCAUAGCAUGCUGUUAGAUUCAUUAAACCAGCAGUUCUCAACCAUGUUCAUUACUUCAGUGACCACCCACCCGCAUCUCAUCUGCAACCAUAAACAAGCCUCAAAAAA
This is a long non-coding RNA of Bubalus bubalis (water buffalo), 677 nucleotides long. RefSeq lists it as uncharacterized. The record is from RefSeq and is a predicted model, not a curated record. The transcript has 5 exons. Lineage: Eukaryota; Metazoa; Chordata; Mammalia; Artiodactyla; Bovidae.